RNAcentral lists this long non-coding RNA (1358 nucleotides) under Olea europaea (common olive). Its description in RNAcentral is "long non-coding RNA (OEUR_LNC003703)". Lineage: Eukaryota; Viridiplantae; Streptophyta; Magnoliopsida; Lamiales; Oleaceae. The record is from RNAcentral.
UUGGAGGCUGGACAAUUGGAUAAUUGUGGGUGGCGAAUCAAGAUUGUUGGAACGAAAAGAAAAGCAAAAGGUUGUCAAAAUUCGUCAAAGGUACAAUCUUUAUCACGAUUUCUAUCUAAACACAAAGGAAUCCUCGAUGGGAAUCGAAAUAAUUUUAAUUUUUUGCUGUGCAUGUAUAAGUAGAUUCCCAACACAUACUUCAUGAAGUUGCCUCCAUAUUUUCUAAUACAUUUUGAACUCCUUUCUGUUAUUGGAAAUAACCAAUAAUAUUUGUCUUGCUUUGGGGGGUUUUAGCUAAUUUUAACAAGGUUUGUGGAUAUUUGCAAGUCUUCCAGUUCUUGAAAUGAUAACAGGUCAGGGCUGACGUGCAUAUUGGGAAAGCUGCCUUGGCAUAUGUUGGAAAUUGUAUCAAAUGUUCAUGUGAAUGUAAAUGGAUAAUUUUGGCACGAUAUAUUUCUUGAUGUUACAUUUUCUUAAUUGCAUGUUUAAUAUCUAGAACCACAAGAAGACACCAUAGGCGUUUUGAACUAGUCAUAGGUUGAAUAUUCUCAAACCACCUUCCUGUGUAUAUUGUUAUAUUGAUUGAUAUUGGCAACGGCAACAGGUUGAGCAUUUUAUAUAAUCAAUACGUUUCAUUUAGUUUGUGAAAGUAAAUUGAACAUUGAUUGAUGAAAAACGAACAUUACAAUUGACAAAAGCAGAAAAUUACAAUUGCUGGUACAGGGGACGGACACAUGUGAGCUUGAAAGAUUUUUGAAUGACUAAUACAUCUUAUAAUAGCAUUCUGAACAAAAACCUAAGUGACAGCAGUAGACGUUUAAAAGACGAGAAAUCAUACUAAACGUUUACUAAUAUCAAAUCUAUUUUACAACUGAAAUAACUAUUACAAUGAAAAGAAAAUUACAACUCAAACUUGAAGUAAUAUUUACAAUGUGCGGCCGAAGUUGGGCAAACUGUGGCUGCAAUAGUGUCAAGGGGCUAAGUAAAGUUGUGAUCCUUGACACCCGGUCACGCUGAAGCGGGGAUUACAAGAAGGUUGUCCGCCAUUCCUAUAUCUUUUUCUCCUGCAAUAGUGUCAAGGGGCUAAGUAAAGUUGUGAUCCUUGACACUCGGUCACGCUGAAGCGGGGAUUACAAGAAGGUUGUCCGCCAUUCCUAUAUCUUUUUCUCCUGCAAUAGUGUCAAGGGGCUAAGUAAAGUUGUGAUCCUUGACACUCGGUCACGCUGAAGCGGGGAUUACAAGAAGGUUGUCCGCCAUUCCUAUAUCUUUUUCUCCUACGUACAUAAGGGUUCUGGUGUCUCUUUUGAAGGAUUGAAACUGACUCGUACAUUUAGAGAGUUCAAUUUUUCCUACUGAGG